Molecule: ribosomal RNA, 468 nt
Filed under: uncultured bacterium
Lineage: Bacteria
Description: partial 16S ribosomal RNA
Rfam family: Bacterial small subunit ribosomal RNA
Source: RNAcentral
GACGAACGCUGGCGGCGUGCUUAACACAUGCAAGUCGAACGGAAAGGCCCUGCUUUUGUGGGGUGCUCGAGUGGCGAACGGGUGAGUAACACGUGAGUAACCUGAUCUUGACUUUGGGAUAACUUCAGGAAACUGGGGCUAAUACCGGAUAGGAGAUCCUGCUGCAUGGUGGGGGUUGGAACGUUUCGGCGGUCGGGGAUGGACUCGCGGCUUAUCAGCUUGUUGGUGGGGUAGUGGCUUACCCAGGCUUUGACGGGUAGCCGGCCUGAGAGGGUGACCGGCCACAUUGGGACUGAGAGACGGCCCAGACUCCUACGGGGGGCAGAAGUGGGGAAUAUUGCACAGUGAGCGGAAGCCUGAUGCAGCAACGCCGCGGGCGGGAUGACGGCCUUCGGGUUGUAAACCGCUUUCGCCUAUUACGAAGCGGGAGUGACGGUAAUGAAUAAAGAAGCACCGGCUAACUACGUG